RNAcentral lists this ribosomal RNA (274 nucleotides) under uncultured bacterium. RNAcentral's name for it is "partial 16S ribosomal RNA". It matches the Rfam family "Archaeal small subunit ribosomal RNA", at positions 473 to 747 of the family's 1478-position model. The record is from RNAcentral.
AAACCAGCACCUCAAGUGGUCAGGAGGAUUAUUGGGCCUAAAGCAUCCGUAGCCUGUUCUAUAAGUUUCCGGUUAAAUCCACUAGCUCAACUAGUGGGCUGCCGAAAAUACUGGAGAACUAGGGAGUGGGAGAGGUAGACGGUAUUCGGUAGGAAGGGGUAAAAUCCUUUGAUCUAUUGAGGACCACCUGUGGCGAAGGCGGUCUACCAGAACACGUUCGACGGUGAGGGAUGAAAGCUGGGGGAGCAAACCGGAUUAGAAACCCCAGUAGUCC